GCAUGUUUUUUAUUCUAUUUUAUUCUAUCAUUUUAUUUUAGCAAUCAUAUUAAUUUAUUGCACUACAAAGAGCUUAAAUUAAAAAAGGUUCAUUUAUUUAAACACAUACUGUAAGUCUUUAUGUCCUUAACCUUCUAAUGAGGAACAUGAAGUUUGUUCAGUGCAGUGACUCAGAGGACGGUGAAGACAAGUCUGAGAGACAGGAAGCAUGGUGGUCCAGUCAUGGAGGAAAGUGGGGGCGGAAGCCAAAAAUACAUCAGACUGCAUCAUAGCAGGCUACCCUUUAGUCAACACUUUGCACAGAUUCUAUAACUCACUAUCGUUACAUGAGGCAUCGUACAGUAGAAGACUGCACAAGCUGUAAAUCAUCUAUCAAUCACUCCUGAAGAAUGCUUUAUCGUUGCCUUGAGGUGCAGCUCAUAUGACAGAAAUACACAGUUACAAACCAAACAAUAGAACCAUGUAUCAGAACUGUUUCUGCACAAAAGAAGGAUUUAAUCCGAAGCUCUUCAUGAUGACAAACCAAGACCUAGUAGUAACUCUGAUGUUAUGCUGCACAGAGUGGAUAUUUGCUUAUGAUUUCAAGGCAGGACAAAUAAAUACUGUCGUUAGAUUGGUGGAUGAAUCACAACACAUGGAAAUGGUGAAAUUUUUACACCCUAGGAGCUUUUAGGACCAUGAUGCAUUAAAAAAAAGUAGUGAAUUCAUGAAACAGCUCCAUAUACAGAAAU
This is a long non-coding RNA of Tachysurus fulvidraco (yellow catfish), 731 nucleotides long. RefSeq lists it as uncharacterized. The transcript has 3 exons. Lineage: Eukaryota; Metazoa; Chordata; Actinopteri; Siluriformes; Bagridae. The record is from RefSeq and is a predicted model, not a curated record.